This 250-nucleotide ribosomal RNA is filed under the name uncultured bacterium. RNAcentral's name for it is "partial 16S ribosomal RNA". It matches the Rfam family "Bacterial small subunit ribosomal RNA", at positions 524 to 773 of the family's 1533-position model. The record is from RNAcentral.
UACGUAGGGUGCGAGCGUUAAUCGGAAUUACUGGGCGUAAAGCGUGCGCAGGCGGUGCACCAAGCUCGAUGUGAAAGCCCCGGGCUUAACCUGGGAAUUGCAUUGAGGACUGGUGUGCUCGAGUGCGGCAGAGGGGGGUGGAAUUCCACGUGUAGCAGUGAAAUGCGUAGAGAUGUGGAGGAACACCGAUGGCGAAGGCAGCCCCCUGGGCCGACACUGACGCUCAUGCACGAAAGCGUGGGGAGCAAAC